Molecule: long non-coding RNA, 496 nt
Filed under: Mytilus galloprovincialis (Mediterranean mussel)
Lineage: Eukaryota; Metazoa; Mollusca; Bivalvia; Mytilida; Mytilidae
Source: RNAcentral
GGCUUAGUUUAUUUAUAGAAGUAUUAUGUACAUAAAGUAUGACAGACAUGAACAAAUGACAUCGACUGCAUUACAGGCUCCCGACUCUGGAAAGGCACGUUAAAAUGUUAUGAGGUUAUCUUUCAAAAAGAUGAAAUAAACCUUAUUGACCCUAGUCAGAAGUCAGAACGGCAGUGCAGGACAUCUACCCUCCACAUGCGACAUCUAUCAGUUAUUAAUGCUUGUAAAGUUCCAGUAAACAGUCACUUCCAGCAAUGUAACGAUCCACGAAAAGUGAACGGAUUUUGGGUAACAAUAGGUGGAAUAUAUUAGUGGUCACCAGCAUUACAACUAUUCCAUUAUAGACAUUACAAAAAGAUGGCAUCAGUAAAACUUAAGAAUGGAUUACUAGUAAUUCAAUUUUGAUACUAGCCACCUCUGAUGCAGUAGCUUCAUUGUAAGCAGUAACCCUCUAUCAACGAAUCAUCAUGAUAUGAAACACAAGCCUAGAAUAUUG